UAGGUAUUUGGAGGCAAGAUGUGCGGGCACCGGUCGGCCUAUGGAACCACCGUUGUGUGCUCCGUGCAUUACGUCAAACGCAAAUACGCCCUCUAAUCGAUGUGGACUUGCACGCAUCGGUGGGGCUUGAUAAGACAAUCAAGCCUUGGCGGUUUACCUUAACGACGAAGCGAUGAUGACCCGCUGAGGAUGACGAAUCGUGAAGCGAUGAUGACUCAGAGUGCCCCAAAUCGUGAAAUCGUUAGGGUAAACCGCCCGCAUUAGUUGGUUGCGUCUGCUGGCUCCAACUCGGGAGUAGAUUAUCUCUUUUUGAUAAUCUCAAGCCCGGGAUGACGGUUUUCAGUGAGCUAUCCUGGAUCGUUGUCAAUCGGGCUUGCUUGGUUCACAAGCUCGUGAUGGGUACCGUCGCUUGUGGGUUCCGUUGCUACCUGGUCUUGCUUAUAUAUGUGUGUGGUCCGGACUCGUUUCUCAUGCCUCGUUAACGAUUUUGUUAGUGAGCGUUGAUUGGGCUUUGCUUUUGAUCAUUUGGCAUAGCUACGGGGUCGUUUUGUGACUUGAUCUGAUGAUGAUGUUGCCGUGCGUUGAUUAAGCUUUGCUUUUGAUCAAAUGACAUCGUGCGUUGAUUGAGCUUUGCUUUUUGAUCAAAUGGCAUAGCUACGGAGUUGUUGGGUCUUUGUUUCGUCGAGCAACAUGAGAAACCAGUUCCUUCUACGUGGAAAUAUAUAAGCAAGCGAUGAUGCAACGGUACUCACAAGCCACGGUACCCCUGGACCCUUCCUGAUGGACCCGUCCUGAUGACCCUUCCUGACUUUCCCAUCGUUCGGGGCAUUCUGGGGCUGUUUUGGCUAUUGGUUGCUUGUUUGGUCUUGAGCCGAACGGGUGGCUUCUAGUCUGGUGGCUUCGGGGAUGCUGACCGUAAAGGUGGAUGAGUGGUGUUUGGUUUGUUACGUGUGGUUGGCUGCGGCGCUUGCAACAACUUCCAUGCUUUCAGACCUCUUCAGUUGUGCGGCAAGGCUUGUAUCGCCUUGAGCGUAUCGUGGGUUUUCUGUGUUGGCUACCUAAUCAACGGUAUCGGUUGGAUUGAUCAAAGUUUGAUUUCGUCUUCCGUCGCAUUCGCGGCGUGAGGUGAACCUCGAUGCGGUCUCUUUGAUCCACCUCGUCGGAGCACAUGGUUUGACGUUGUGGCGCAUUGAGCAUUGCUUGGUCUCUUGUAUACGGAACAUAUAGUGGGCAUGGAUCUAACGAUUCUCGUUUGCCCUCAUAUUAGCGUAACGCUUCUCUUACACGACUUGCUCCACGUUUUAGCUCGUACGGACGUGGUGCUAGUCGAAGAGA
Molecule: unclassified non-coding RNA, 1335 nt
Filed under: Artemisia macrantha
Lineage: Eukaryota; Viridiplantae; Streptophyta; Magnoliopsida; Asterales; Asteraceae
Description: partial miscellaneous RNA
Source: RNAcentral